CCAGAGAAGAAGUCAUGACGGUAUUUGGGGAAUAAGCAUCGGCUAACUCUGUGCCAGCAGCCGCGGUAAGACAGAGGAUGCAAGCGUUAUCCGGAAUGAUUGGGCGUAAAGCGUCUGUAGGUGGCUUUUUAAGUCUGCUGUCAAAUCCCAGGGCUUAACCCUGGCCAGGCGGUGGAGACUACGGAGCUUGAGUACGGUAGGGGCAGAGGGAAUUUCCGGUGGAGCGGUGAAAUGCGUAGAGAUCGG
RNAcentral lists this ribosomal RNA (246 nucleotides) under uncultured phototrophic eukaryote. Its description in RNAcentral is "partial 16S ribosomal RNA". It matches the Rfam family "Bacterial small subunit ribosomal RNA", at positions 439 to 700 of the family's 1533-position model. The record is from RNAcentral.